Molecule: ribosomal RNA, 401 nt
Filed under: uncultured bacterium
Lineage: Bacteria
Description: partial 16S ribosomal RNA
Rfam family: Bacterial small subunit ribosomal RNA
Source: RNAcentral
GAAUCUUCCGCAAUGGACGAAAGUCUGACGGAGCAACGCCGCGUGAGUGAAGAAGGUCUUCGGAUCGUAAAACUCUGUCAUAGGGGAAGAAGGAAGUGACGGUACCCUAUGAGGAAGCCCCGGCUAACUACGUGCCAGCAGCCGCGGUAAUACGUAGGGGGCGAGCGUUGUCCGGAAUUACUGGGCGUAAAGGGUGCGUAGGCGGCCGAUUAAGUCAGAUGUGAAAUACCAUGGCUCAACCAUGGGGGUGCAUUUGAAACUGGUUGGCUUGAGUGCAGGAGAGGAAAGCGGAAUUCCUAGUGUAGCGGUGAAAUGCGUAGAGAUUAGGAGGAACACCAGUGGCGAAGGCGGCUUUCUGGACUGUAACUGACGCUGAGGCGCGAAAGCGUGGGGAGCAAACA